Molecule: non-coding RNA, 2021 nt
Organism: Pelodiscus sinensis (Chinese soft-shelled turtle)
Lineage: Eukaryota; Metazoa; Chordata; Testudines; Trionychidae
Source: RefSeq, a predicted model, not a curated record
AGCGGGAGAGUCAGCCCUGCCGAAACGCCAUCUUUGUUCUGCCUCCAAGCCAAGCCCAACAUCGAAGAUUCCCACCCACUGAGAUUUCAAUCCAGGCCAGUGGAAACGUUCCUGAGGAUCAAGUCAAGUUCUUCGGCUUUUUCCCACCUUUUCACAGCAUUUUCUAACCGAAAACCCCUCAAUAGUCCCCUCCCAGAGGGUCAAAGUGGAGAAUUUUGGCCGUAUCAAAGCACUUCUUUUCAGUGUUUUCCAACAAACGUCUAUCGCAAUUGACACGCUUAACGAAACAGCAUCUUGUGAUGGAAAAGUGUUCUGAUAAAAAAUAUACUAAUCAACCUUAGCCCUACCCGAGAGGCUGCCCAGCCUCCUUUGUGUUCCAGGCUCUGAGCUAGGUGCUUUCAGCCCAUUUAGCUGCAUGUUUUCAGAUACGAUUAAGGGAGUUAAACACCCAAUUCAGCAUGAUUUGGGCCCUUAAAUCCCUUUGGCUCCUUUGAAAAUCCCAGCCUACAUUUCAGCAUGUUGACUUUCACUCUAUAUUUUGGCUUCUUUCUGUCACUGUGCACUGCAGAGUCCCAGACCACACAUGGUCCUCCCUGGUAAACAAGAGAGACACAACUGCAUCUCAAGCUGUGUAGAAGCCAGUCUGUUAGAGUCUAUGAUUAGGUCUGUUACUAAAUGCCCCCUGUUUAAAGGACCGUGAUUCUGUGUCUUGUGACAGUGGGAGGCCUUUUCCAACAAGACAGAUGAAUCCAGAUUCUGAUCUCACUGACACCAACAUAAAUCCCAAGUAACUCUGUUGAUGGAGUCCUGAUUUCACCUGCCCUACAAUCCGUCCCUGUUGUCCUCUCCCAGCGCCUGGCAGUCAGAGAGUUAGGGGCGCCCAGAGCCUGGGGUCACCUCCCAGACCAUCUUGGCUAAUGGCCAUCCUCCAAAUGUCCAUGCUGAGUGACCCCACUAAGACCGAUUCUGAGCCCACGUCACCCUAAAAUUGAAAUCACACGUCACUCUGGAUUGACACCUGUUUAACCGAGCUCGGACUCUUCUACCAGGGGUCUGGGUUCCUGUUCAUGGAUCUUCCCCCAACGCUCACGGGCGUCACUGGUUUUUCUUUUAGGGACAGAGCAAGGCAUCCAGAGGCAGACCCGGCGAUUUAUUAGCCCAGUGGCUUGCAAGGCGGCCCUGAACAUGCUGGAGAACCGGAGCUACUUAAUCUGGGGCCUCAGCACCGACCUGUGGGACCUGAAGACCGAGAUGGCUUACUUGCUCGGGAGCAGCACCUGGAUUGAGCUGUGGCCCAGCAAUGAGGAAUGCCAUGAGGAAUCUUUCCGUGCCCUCUGCUCGGGCCUGGAGGCCUUUGCCCAGCACCUGGUGGCAACCGGCUGCCCUUCGUAGCCAAGGAGAAGAGGACACAGGAACAUCACCGUCUCCCACGACCUAUUUAUAGUGUAACCUGGAACCCCGGCCGAACCUCUGUACAUCCCACCACAGCAGGGGUAGGACUCACACCCUCCUGCAUGCAGCCCCUACCUCUGGAUCUGCAGGAGAAUCUCCUUCAGCUGCUCAUAGUAUAGGGCCUAUGACACACCACGGUGCAGUUCACAUUCCAUCCCGUAGAGGGCAGCGGUGGACACACGCCGCUCACAACGCAGUGCUUUCCAUAGCCCUCCAUUACCCUGGUCUGCGAUUUUGAGAGACUGGGCCAGAUUCGGUCUGUUUUCACAUGGCCACACGCGACCGGCUAGGGAUGACAACGUGACACGAGGCCGAGCUCGGAACGGAGCCGGACCUUGUGUGGGUCAGACCCACCUCUGAGACACCCCAGGGCUUGGUCAUUUCCUUACACCAGGCCACUGAUCUAAUUCCUCAACUGUACACCUGUUGCAAUCCCCCUGAAUCCUUGAUCCACGGGCUUUGUGCCUGCCGGGGGGCUCGCCAGAGGCAUCUGCCUCCUUUGUACCUGAGUUACCCCAUGAACGUGAAUAAAGUUUUGCGGCAGCAGGGGAAGGGCUGUCAGCACCCAA